UACGGAGGGUGCAAGCGUUAUCCGGAUUCACUGGGUUUAAAGGGUGCGUAGGGGGAGUGGUAAGUCAGUGGUGAAAUCUCCAAGCUUAACUUGGAAACUGCCGUUGAUACUAUCAUUCUUGAAUAUCGUGGAGGUAAGCGGAAUAUGUCAUGUAGCGGUGAAAUGCUUAGAUAUGACAUAGAACACCGAUUGCGAAGGCAGCUUGCUACACGAUCAUUGACACUGAGGCACGAAAGCGUGGGGAUCAAACAGG
Molecule: ribosomal RNA, 253 nt
Filed under: uncultured bacterium
Lineage: Bacteria
Description: partial 16S ribosomal RNA
Rfam family: Bacterial small subunit ribosomal RNA
Source: RNAcentral